Molecule: ribosomal RNA, 373 nt
Filed under: uncultured organism
Description: partial 16S ribosomal RNA
Rfam family: Bacterial small subunit ribosomal RNA
Source: RNAcentral
GUAGGUGGCAAGCGUUGUCCGGAAUUAUUGGGCGUAAAGCGCGCGCAGGCGGUCCUUUAAGUCUGAUGUGAAAGCCCACGGCUCAACCGUGGAGGGUCAUUGGAAACUGGGGGACUUGAGUACAGAAGAGGAAAGCGGAAUUCCAAGUGUAGCGGUGAGAUGCGUAGAGAUUUGGAGGAACACCAGUGGCGAAGGCGGCUUUCUGGUCUGUAACUGACGCUGAGGCGCGAAAGCGUGGGGAGCAAACAGGGAUUAGAUACCCUGGUAGUCCACGCCGUAAACGAUGAGUGCUAAGUGUUAGGGGGUUUCCCGCCCCUUAGUGCUGCAGCUAACGCAUUAAGCACUCCGCCUGGGGAGUACGGCCGCAAGGCUG